UUGCUUCAGCAGCAUCCAAACUGAAAAUGAUAAUAAGAAAGAACUGAUUAGUAUGGCCCCUGCACAAGGAUGACAUAAAUUUGUGAAGCAUUCCAGAUACAUAUUUUU
This is a small nuclear RNA of Echinops telfairi (small Madagascar hedgehog), 108 nucleotides long. NCBI's taxonomy places the organism in Eukaryota, Metazoa, Chordata, Mammalia, Afrosoricida, Tenrecidae. The record is from RefSeq and is a predicted model, not a curated record.